GCAACAAUUGGCCCAGCCUAGGAGGAAUUAAACCCAAGGCCCAUCCCCAAUUCAACUGCCAAUUUUAAAUUGCAAUUGCAGUUAGGGCAUAACAGUCCGUUUAGGUUUCGCUGAUGCUUCUUCUUUGCUGUGCCACAGUUGUCGUAAGCAUCAAAUUUCUUCAUCUGGAGGUCGAAGGCAUGAAUGAAGCAGGGAUAUCCAUUAUCCCAUUCAUGUAUUAACUUGGCUCUCUCAGGUACAUAAAUUCAGAAGACUAUGAAGGAGGGUUUGAAAAAUCAGACAUUGAGCAAAUCUUGUCAAAUAUAGAGUUCAAUUUCAACAACUGGGCUUCAAACUUUGCUUCUAUGGUUGUUGAUGCAGUUGAUCCUCUCUGUAGAUAAAUUCGAAAAGUACUUGAAAAGAAUGAGGCGUGAAGCUGCACUCUCUGUAGCGAAACUUGUUACCCCAUGCACCAACAGUGGCCUUGAGAUAGACAUUGAGAAAGUGGCAGAUGUUUCAGAACAAUCCAAUAAUUUCUCGGUUGAGAGAGGCAAUUGGACUCUCUCUCUCUCUCUCCUACCGCUGGUACAAGAUGGCAGCUAAUUCAACAAUUGAGAGUUGAGAUCUUUGUGAUAAUGCCUUCCUAGGUUGCUUUUUUUCAUCUGAAAUCAAUAUCCAAUUCACAAAUUAAAUCUUAUAUAAAUAAUUUAAUAUGAAUGGUAGCUAGACUUUUAAUUGCAA
Molecule: long non-coding RNA, 720 nt
Organism: Cornus florida
Lineage: Eukaryota; Viridiplantae; Streptophyta; Magnoliopsida; Cornales; Cornaceae
Exons: 2
Source: RefSeq, a predicted model, not a curated record